This is a small nuclear RNA of Parambassis ranga (Indian glassy fish), 114 nucleotides long. NCBI's taxonomy places the organism in Eukaryota, Metazoa, Chordata, Actinopteri, Ambassidae. The record is from Ensembl.
GUGUUACUUCGGUAGCACAUGCACAUAUACUAAAAUUGGAACGAUACAGAGAAGAUUAGCUUGUCCCAGAGGCGCAAGGAUGACACACAAAUUCGUGAAGCGUUCCUCAUUUUU